CAGUGGUAUGUGAUGAACCUGCCCUUUCUGUACCCAGAGCAUCAGAAUCUAGCUGCUUUCUUGGGGGCUACAGAGGGAGGAAGGGACCUGCUGUCUACACUCUCAGAAUCUUAAUGUCCUUGGAUUUUGCUUCAGAGAGAGAGACAGCAAGAGAAGGAACAUAAGCAGGACAAGUGGGAGAGGGAGAAGCAGGCUUCCCACGGAGCAAGGAGCCGGAUGCUGGACUCGAUCCCAGGACUGUGGAAUCAUGACCUGAACUGAAGGCAGAUGCUUAACGACUGAGCCACCCAAGUGCCCCAACGUCAUUAGUUUUUGAUGUAUGGACAAGUUUGUAA
Molecule: long non-coding RNA, 335 nt
Filed under: Mustela putorius furo (domestic ferret)
Lineage: Eukaryota; Metazoa; Chordata; Mammalia; Carnivora; Mustelidae
Description: lncRNA (ENSMPUG00000026370.1)
Source: RNAcentral